Molecule: small nucleolar RNA, 130 nt
Filed under: Cervus elaphus hippelaphus
Lineage: Eukaryota; Metazoa; Chordata; Mammalia; Artiodactyla; Cervidae
Also listed under: 1 other name
Source: RNAcentral
GUGCACAUUUCAUUGUCUUUUUUCUUUAUGUCAGGAGAAAAGAUAUUUCUGAUGUGCUAAAUAAACCUUUGGAGGUAAAUUAGCAGCAUGACUUAAUUCAGCCAUUGCUGUCAGUCACCUUCAUACAAGA